UUGUUUCUUGUUUUUGUUUCUUGUUCUUGUUUCUUGUUUCUUGUUUCUUGCGCCUUAUUUCA
This 62-nucleotide non-coding RNA is filed under the name uncultured Mantoniella. The record is from RNAcentral. Lineage: Eukaryota; Viridiplantae; Chlorophyta; Mamiellophyceae; Mamiellales.